GGGGAUAUAGCUCAGUUGGCUAGAGCGCUUGCAUGGCAUGCAAGAGGUCCGCGGUUCGAGUCCGCGUAUCUCCACCA
RNAcentral lists this transfer RNA (77 nucleotides) under Candidatus Saccharimonadota bacterium. RNAcentral's name for it is "tRNA-Ala". It matches the Rfam family "tRNA". Rfam says of the family: Transfer RNA (tRNA) molecules are approximately 80 nucleotides in length. Their secondary structure includes four short double-helical elements and three loops (D, anti-codon, and T loops). Lineage: Bacteria; Candidatus Saccharimonadota. The record is from RNAcentral.